This 395-nucleotide ribosomal RNA is filed under the name uncultured bacterium. Its description in RNAcentral is "partial 16S ribosomal RNA". It matches the Rfam family "Bacterial small subunit ribosomal RNA", at positions 523 to 918 of the family's 1533-position model. The record is from RNAcentral.
AUACGUAGGGUGCAAGCGUUAAUCGGAAUUACUGGGCGUAAAGCGUGCGCAGGCGGUUUUGUAAGACAGUGGUGAAAUCCCCGGGCUCAACCUGGGAACUGCCAUUGUGACUGCAAGGCUGGAGUGCGGCAGAGGGGGAUGGAAUUCCGCGUGUAGCAGUGAAAUGCGUAGAUAUGCGGAGGAACACCGAUGGCGAAGGCAAUCCCCUGGGCCUGCACUGACGCUCAUGCACGAAAGCGUGGGGAGCAAACAGGAUUAGAUACCCUGGUAGUCCACGCCCUAAACGAUGUCAACUGGUUGUUGGGAAUUUAUUUUCUCAGUAACGAAGCUAACGCGUGAAGUUGACCGCCUGGGGAGUACGGCCGCAAGGUUAAAACUCAAAUGAAUUGACGGGG